GACGAACGCUGGCGGCGUGCUUAACACAUGCAAGUCGAACGGAAAGGCCCUGCUUUUGUGGGGUGCUCGAGUGGCGAACGGGUGAGUAACACGUGAGUAACCUGCCCUUGACUUUGGGAUAACUUCAGGAAACUGGGGCUAAUACCGGAUAGGAGCUCCUGCUGCAUGGUGGGGGUUGGAAAGUUUCGGCGGUUGGGGAUGGACUCGCGGCUUAUCAGCUUGUUGGUGGGGUAGUGGCUUACCAAGGCUUUGACGGGUAGCCGGCCUGAGAGGGUGACCGGCCACAUUGGGACUGAGAUACGGCCCAGACUCCUACGGGAGGCAGCAGUGGGGAAUAUUGCACAAUGGGCGGAAGCCUGAUGCAGCAACGCCGCGUGCGGGAUGAAGGCCUUCGGGUUGUAAACCGCUUUCGCCUGUGACGAAGCGUGAGUGACGGUAAUGGGUUAAGAAGCACCGGCUAACUACGUG
Molecule: ribosomal RNA, 468 nt
Filed under: uncultured bacterium
Lineage: Bacteria
Description: partial 16S ribosomal RNA
Rfam family: Bacterial small subunit ribosomal RNA
Source: RNAcentral